This 301-nucleotide ribosomal RNA is filed under the name uncultured bacterium. Its description in RNAcentral is "partial 16S ribosomal RNA". It matches the Rfam family "Bacterial small subunit ribosomal RNA", at positions 509 to 807 of the family's 1533-position model. The record is from RNAcentral.
CAGUCGCCACGGUAAUACGUAGGGUGCAAGCGUUAAUCGGAAUUACUGGGCGUAAAGCGUGCGCAGGCGGUUUUGUAAGACAGAGGUGAAAUCCCCGGGCUCAACCUGGGAACUGCCUUUGUGACUGCAAGGCUAGAGUACGGCAGAGGGGGAUGGAAUUCCGCGUGUAGCAGUGAAAUGCGUAGAGAUGCGGAGGAACACCGAUGGCGAAGGCAAUCCCCUGGGCCUGUACUGACGCUCAUGCACGAAAGCGUGGGGAGCAAACAGGAUUAGAUACCCCGGUAGUCCCUGUCUCUUAUAC